CGGAUGUGUCGUCCCCCCCGCACGCCCCCACGCCCGGUGACGGUCCCCAGCUUCCUAGGAGGGGGGAAUGGAAAGUGCGGCCCCGGCUCCUGGGGUCACUUAAAGGAGAAGAUCAUCUCUAGUAUCUGGCCUACCGAUGAGGAAAAAAAAGUAGUCAUGCAAAACUGUCAAAACACCACCAAAAAGCAUAUAUCAUUUGAAUGAGACAGCAAACAAAGCUGCUUACCUUUUCUACACAGUCGCUUGGCCUUGAACAAUCUGGGAAUGAAUGGCUCUGUUGCUGAGUUACUUGAUGUGCAAGUUUUGGAAACUGAUGGACAUGUACAUCUAAUGUCUGGGCUCCUGCAAAUCAGCAGUAAAAUAAGUGGCAACGCUAAUCUCAGUGACAGAGAUCUCAGUAAAAGGGAGCGUUUCAACUCCUGCAAAUGGUACAAUUGGUGGUA
Long non-coding RNA from Gopherus flavomarginatus (Mexican gopher tortoise), 443 nucleotides. RefSeq lists it as uncharacterized. The transcript has 3 exons. Lineage: Eukaryota; Metazoa; Chordata; Testudines; Testudinidae. The record is from RefSeq and is a predicted model, not a curated record.